Long non-coding RNA from Apis cerana (Asiatic honeybee), 1004 nucleotides. RefSeq lists it as uncharacterized. The record is from RefSeq and is a predicted model, not a curated record. Lineage: Eukaryota; Metazoa; Arthropoda; Insecta; Hymenoptera; Apidae.
AUUUUUGAUCAUGCGCACUUAAUUAAAACAUAAUAUAUAAUUUAAUUUUCGCGCGGAAUUAUAAUAAAGAACUAGGCAAUUCUAGCCAAUCGGAAAGCCGCUAAUAUUCAGCCCGAUGCUAUAUCCGAGACGCUAUUGCGCAUUAUUGUGCGCAUGACGUGAGUCUACACUUAAAAGUCGUGAUGGCAAGUUGCUUUUUACCGGUUCGUGUAUAAUUACGUUAUAUUAGUGUAUAUUUACAGUUAUUAAGUGAUAAUUAUAUAUUAUCAAGCAUUAUUUAAUUAAUACGUGUUUGUUUAAUCAUUAUUAUAUAAAAAAUUAAACGUAUUUUGAACUUUUGUCGUGUUUGUGUAGAUUAUCAUUUGAUCGAAGCUUCGAUCGAAACAAUAUUGUUUCGAAAGUACAAGAUUCUUCGUUGACUUUUAUGCCGAUGUGAUAAGUAACAUUGCUGAUUGAUACAUUUAUAGGCGGUAAAAAGGAUUUAAUAUAUAUAAACGUCAUGAUGACAGUACAUUUUAUGGAGAAAAAAAAGAUAAAGUUUAAAUUUUUGGAUCCAAGAAAGAUAUAUAUUGUGACUGCGCGCAAUGUGGUCAGUAGAAUCAGUGUUUGUUUCGUAAUAGUAUUUUAAAUGUUUUUUAGAGCAUAAAAUAAAUUUAAUUAUAAUAGUUAUACGCGAAAUUAGAGUCAGUGUUUGUUCGUCGAUUGCACAUUAUAUAAAUAGAUGUGUUAAUAGUUUUUUAUUUUUAUUUUUUUAUUUUAAAUAUUUGUUUUCGGUAUGAUAGAUUCAGUGAUUCUCUCAAGAAAAUAAGGCAUUCAAGGAAAAAAGAUAUUUCCCAGUCUUUACAAUGAUUUUCUAUGGGCCACAACAGUGCUGAUGGUAAUGCAGAUACUUCGCAUCUAUUGGUGAGUCGCAUGUUUUUAUGUUCCUCCGAUCAUUUAAUCAUGUCGUAGGAUGAAAGAUCCGAAUCGACACGAAUGAUUGGUUGUAUACGUAGAAUUUUGCA